CAGUAGCCGCGGGAAUACGGAGGGGGCUAGCGUUGUUCGGAAUUACUGGGCGUAAAGCGCACGUAGGCGGCUUUGUAAGUUAGAGGUGAAAGCCCGGAGCUCAACUCCGGAAUUGCCUUUAAGACUGCAUCGCUAGAACGUCGGAGAGGUGAGUGGAAUUCCGAGUGUAGAGGUGAAAUUCGUAGAUAUUCGGAAGAACACCAGUGGCGAAGGCGACUCACUGGACGACUGUUGACGCUGAGGUGCGAAAGCGUGGGGAGCAAACAGGAUUAGAGACCCGAGUAGUCCCUGUCUCUUAUAC
RNAcentral lists this ribosomal RNA (301 nucleotides) under uncultured bacterium. Its description in RNAcentral is "partial 16S ribosomal RNA". It matches the Rfam family "Bacterial small subunit ribosomal RNA", at positions 509 to 807 of the family's 1533-position model. The record is from RNAcentral.